UACGUAGGGUGCGAGCGUUGUCCGGAAUUAUUGGGCGUAAAGAGCUUGUAGGCGGUUUGUCGCGUCUGCUGUGAAAACUCAGGGCUUAACCCUGAGCUUGCAGUGGGUACGGGCAGACUAGAGUGCGGUAGGGGAGACUGGAAUUCCUGGUGUAGCGGUGAAAUGCGCAGAUAUCAGGAGGAACACCGGUGGCGAAGGCGGGUCUCUGGGCCGUAACUGACGCUGAGGAGCGAAAGCAUGGGGAGCGAACAGG
RNAcentral lists this ribosomal RNA (253 nucleotides) under uncultured bacterium. RNAcentral's name for it is "partial 16S ribosomal RNA". It matches the Rfam family "Bacterial small subunit ribosomal RNA", at positions 524 to 776 of the family's 1533-position model. The record is from RNAcentral.